UGGUUAAGGCUCAAACAAAGAUAGCAAAUAAAGGUCUUCGGGUAGAGAAAAAAAAACGCGAGAAUAGAAAAAUGGAAAAGGGUUUGCCCUUAUCAUUUUAAUGCAUAAAAUGCCAUAAUGUGGCUUUAACAUGCAUAACAAAGCAAGUUCUAGAAUAAACAAACUAAGAUUGAUAUUCACAUAACAAAAAUAUUAGAGCAAAGUGGUUGCUCAUAGGCUCAAAUCCUCAUAAAGUUGGUAAAUUUGCCAUCAAAUCAUGUACACUCUUCAAAUGAAUCAACCAUCAAUAGUGGUAUAGAAUGAGAAGAAGGUAUAAGUGAUAUAUAAAAGGAAAGGUAAAAAUGAUAAGAAGUGAGAAAGAUGUAUGUAGUAAUAUGAAAAGUGAAAGAUAAAAUGUGAGUGAUGAUAGAGUAUGAUAGAAUAAAAAUAGAUGUAAAUAAUUUGAUAUAGAUGGGAAAAGAGUAGUGAGAAAGAAAAGAAAAGAAAAAAUAAUAUAUGAAGCAUACUAACUCCAAAAUCAUUUAAGGAUGAGUAGAGUGAAAAUACUACUUCCAGACAUCAAUAAUGCAAAAAUCCCUCCCCCACACCAAGAACUUACAUUGUCCCUAAUGUAAGAUAAUCAAAGCUCACAUAAAAAUUAAAGCGUAAGGAUAAAAGAUUAAAGACAAAAAAAACUUUCCUGAAUUGUGAGCUUUGAUCCACAUAACGUCCAUGGGCUUGGGGGAAAUGGUGGGAUAAAUCCCACACUCUCGAAGCAAUCAAUAAUGGUAUUAAUUCUUGAACCAGUGGAAAGCAAUUAAUUUUCUUCAUUUGUUUUCUUGCUUGGCUGUGAAACAGCCCAUUUGCGGCUGAACACAGAAUCUGUUUUUUGUUUCUUUGUUGUUUUUUGUGAAUAUUUGGCUUAAUUUACAAUUCAUGGCAUGUCUGAAAAUGGGUCGAUGAAUCUGUUAAAAAUUGGACUCAGAUCUAAAUCAGAUUUAUCCAUGAUACAAUCAAGAGGAUUCAACAUUUGAUUUUUAUUUUUCUUUUCGCCACCCCCGUAUGUAAUUUUGGUUGGAGGACUUGGUUGUUAGGAAUUGACAACUACUGAAUUUUUUUUUUCCUUUAAACAACAGAGGCCGCAAUUUCAAUUUGAAGACUUCGUUUAUAAGAAUUGACAAUGGUUGAUUCUUUAAAUAGAAGAUGCCUUGGAAUUCCGCGUCGUUGACAUGUAGUUGAUAUUUAAAACAUAUUGGAUGUUAGGGCUUAGAAUGUUUGAGGUCGGAAUUCUUAUUAAGAAAAUUCCUCUGCUGCUUGCAACAUAAUCGAAGCUGUAAGUCCUAUGCUAUGCAGUUCUCUUUAUUUUCAUUUUUGUUUUUGAAUUUUCAGAAUUAAUAUGAAGAAAAACAUCAUUUAUUUCCAAAACAGAACCAUUAUCAAGUUUCAUAUUUUUGUACAGGUAAACUUUGGUCUUUGAGAAAUAUUUGCGUCUACAACUCUUGAUUAAUUUUAGUUUUAGUUUAGUUUAGUUUUAUUUUUUUUCCCCUAAGGUGGAGAUGAGAUGAGAAACCUCAUUCACUAAAAACCAAAAACUUAGUUUUGUAAAGUUUUAUUUUUUUCCCCCUAAUGCUGGUGGUCUUCCAUUAGCUCUGAAGGUUCUGGGCUCAUUUUUGUUUGGUAGAACUAUAGCUGAACAGGAAAGUGCACUACAAUGACUACAAAGAGGUCCUGAAAGUGAGAUUCUUCAUGUACUUCAAAUAAGUUUUGAUGGGUCAAAAGAAAAAGAAAAAAGAAUAUUUCUCAAUAUUGCAUGUUUCUAUGAGGGAAGUAUAGAGAUUAUAAGGGUGUUCAGAAUCUAAUCCGAUCCGCUCAAUCCGAUCCGUAUAAAUCCGAUCUGUGGAUUGGUGGAUUGGAUAUGGAUUGAAAAUUUAAAAAUCCGCAGUCGAUGGAUUGGAUAUGGAUUUACUUAUGUAAAUCCGCAAAAAUACGUGAAUCCGUCAAUAUAUAUAUAUAUAUAUAUAAUUUAAUUUAAAAAAUUAUAAAUGUGAGAUUACAUAGUUACAUAAGCACUAUAACAUAUCUUAGCCAUUACCUAAUAAUAAUAUAAAAUGAAAAAUAAUUAAAUAAUCAAAUACACAAAUAUAACUUGUAAAAAUUGUAAAACAAAAUAAAAACAAAGUCACAUGUACUAGCAAAAGUAAAGUAACAUAACGCCAAGUCACCAACAAUUUGCAAAGUCACCCAAAAACAAAAUAAUAUGACGCCAAGUCACUAACAAUUUGCAAAGUCACCCAAAAAUAAAGUAACAUGACGCCAAGUCAUCAACAAUUUGCAAACAAAAAACCCUAAGCUUCCAUGCCGUCACACACACUAGCAACACUCAAUACUGGUUGGAUAUACUCUCGACACAGAUUUGAAGGACAUCGGCCGCGCGAUUCCGGCAAGAGCAAGCCAUCUUCUUUCCCAAGUCCAUCGAGCCACUUCACAUUCACUGGUUCCAGCUGAACAAUUGCACUAUCACAACCUUCAAGAUCGCCACCCGUACAGCUUCUCCUGGUUCCCAUCAUGGACGGCUCCGUAAUCACCACUUUUCGACAAGCGCAUCAGCCCUGGUAAAGGAUCAGAUUGUGUUUGGUUUCUAAAACUUCGCCAUUUCAAUUAAUUGUGGCUUUAUUUGAAUAAUUAAUUUCGGUGUUAUAUUAACAUAUUAUUGUAACUUUAUUUGAACAAUUAAGCUUGGUGUGUUAUAUUUUGAAACUUUGAACGUGUUGUUGUAGCUUUAUUUGAAUAAUUAGUCUCGAUAUGUUAUAUUUUAAAAUUUUAAAUGUAUUAUUUUAGGUUUAUUUAAACAAUUAAUUUAUUUAAAUUUUAUUCAAUUUUAAAUUUAAUUGGUAGCAAAAUUAUUUUUAUAUUAGUUUUUUUUAUUUCAUUAGUUGGAGAGAACUAAAAAUUUUUAAUUCGAAAACUAAUGCACAAAAUGAUGGAUUGAAUAUGGAUUGAGUCAAAUCUGUAUUCAAUCCGUAGACGUGUGGAUUGGAUAUGAAUUGAGUCAAAUCCGCAUCUGAUCUGCAGAUAUAUGGAUUAGAUUUGGAUUGAAUUUUAUCAAUCCAUGGAUUGGAUUGGAUUGAAAAAUUAUAAUUCACAAAAUGAUGGAUCGGAUAUGGAUCAAUGUCCAAUCUGUAAAAUCCGAUCCGCGAACAGCCCUAAGAGAUUAUGUGAAAAAAAAUCUCAAAUAUUGUGAUUUUGACCCAAUUAUCAAAAUUGUUGGUCCUAUUGAAAAACCUCUAUUAACCGUAGAUGAUUUCAGCGGACUGUGGAUGCAUGAGUAGUUACAAGAAAUGGGGUAGACAAAUUGUUAGGAGGCAAUUCCCUCAGGAGCCUGGAAGCUGCAUUAGAUUGUGGGAGGAAGCAGAUGUUUGCCAUGUAUUAUUACAAAACACAAGUAAAUGUUCAGUUAGGUUGAAAACUUGCAAUUUUGGGAUCAUGAUCACUUAUUUAACUAGUUAACUCUUUGCAUAGUUUUAUCAAUAUUUUCUUUCUUUAAUUUUUUUCCCCACUUAUUUUUGGUUAUAAUGUUUAGGAAACUGAUGUAGUUGAAGCAUCAUAUUUGAUUGCUUUAGCAACAAUGUCAGUGAUAAAGCCUUUCUAAUGUGACCAGUCAAACUUCACAAGAGUAGCAAAUUUAGAGGAGCUGAUUUCUGAAGGAUUUACAAGUUUGCAUGAGAUUCACUCAUUUUUUCUGCUUCAAAGAAGCUGCUUUAAAAUUCUACAAUUUAAAUAAAAAAAUUCUUAAAAGAUUAUAAUGGAAUUUUUCCAAAAGAGUAAAUUCUUAGAAGAUUUUAAUGGAAUUAUUCCCCGAGAAUAAAUUCUUAAAAGAUUAAAGUGGAAUUUUUCUAAAAGAAUAUGUUAUUCACUUUGCCCUAUAAAAUGCAAUUACAUUGAAGACUCCCUAAAUAAAAUGCUUAAAGAAACCUUUGCUUUUGGCAAAAUCAUGCCGACCAUAUCUUUGAUUCCAUGCGCCACUAAAGACCGGAAUCAUCUUCAUAAUUGCUUUCGGCAUACACUUUUGAUUAAACUUUUUCUCUUUGAGAAAUCAAUUAGAACACAUAAAAAUCCUCUCACUAAUUAAUUUCUUUGAAACAAACUUAAUGAGAAAUUUAAGUAAAAAUUUAUCAUCUUUGACUGCUUCCAAUAAGCUCAGACAUGUAAGUUAAUUUUCUUACAUUUUCAAUUUUACUUGUAUCUCGGGGUUUGCUUUACAUGAAUUUAUUUGAACUGCACUAGCGCCUUCUGAUGUAAUGGCUGCUGUUUGUUCACCACCAGUUAACAUUACAAAUUAAAUCAAUUUUAGGUGUGACAAAAAAGCUGCAAAUCGAAGAAAGGCUGAAAGGGCACAUACUAUGUUAGAGGCUAGAUUUAGAUCUAAUUAUAAGGGAAGCCUUUCUAACACUCAGGUUUUAGAUUCAAGCUCUACUUUAUGUGCAUGCCACAAAUUUGAAAAAAAAUGUGCAUACUAAUUUUUUUUGGGAGAACAAUGGAAUUGAAUAAUAAAUGCACUAUAAAAAAUUUACUUGGUUGUGAUUUUCAUAGAUGGAUUAAAAAAAUAAAUUUUAUUCAAAACUAUGUCCAAUUUAAUUAUUUACAUUUUUGUCAUUUACAACCAAACAUAUAAAUUGUUUUUAAAACUCACAGAACUUUUGAAGAUUGUAUCAAACGUUUAAUUAGUUAUUUUUAUAGUUGACUAUUUUUACAAUACAAUUAGCAGUAAUUAUUUUAAAAACUAUAAUAUUAACAAAAUAAUCCAACAUCUUUUAAGGACCCAGCUGAAAUUUAACUAAUAAAGGUUUACCAUUAGUAUAGAUUGCCGGUAGUUUUAACUAUUUUUAAUUAAUUAUUCCAUUCCAUUUUAAUGGAAUCCAAUGGCUUCAACAUGGGUGAUGGGCAGAGUGGCAUGGACGCGUAAUCAAUUGAAAAGCCAGAUAUUCUUUGCUUAGAUUCCUUGAAGCUUCCGGCAAGCUCGAUGCUAACUCCAUCGUGUGAGUAAUCGAUUGAAAAGCCAGAUAAUUUUCAUUUAGAUUCCUUGAAGCUUCCAGGAAGGUUGAUGGUAACUUCAUCAUUAGAGUAAACAGAGACAAUUUUUUUGAAUUGUUAAGAAAGUCGCUGUUUGACCAAGACUUGCUUUUGGAAAUACACACAUUGCAACGCAACUGAGGCGCUGGAAACCGUGUAAUCGCUUUAAUUUUCCAAAUUAAACAAAAAAACCUCUGCCUUCCCUUGAAAGAUAGGUGCGCACGUAAAAUUCUAUCAUGUCGUAAUUAAUUGCGACAUUAAUAAGUAAUGAAUAUAAUUUUUUAUAAUUUAUACAUACAACCAGUACAUAAAAAGUAAAAUAAAUAAAUUAAUAUAAGUGUGGUUAAUUGAUAUUUUAAAAUUAAAAAUAAAAAAUACUUGUAAAAAUAAUAUAAAAUUUAUAAAUCAACGUUAAACUUUAACUAGACUAGAAAAUAGUUUAUUUCUUUAAUUUAAUUAAGAAAAAAAUCGCUAAUUAAGAAAAAAAUCGCUCAUUAAUUGAAAAAAAAUUGUAUUAAAACGACUAGAAUAAAUUUUAUUGAAUUGGUUUAACCAUGAAUUCUAUAUUUAUCCUAGGACAUUUAUAAUUUUUUUUUCAUUUUCUAUCAUAAUAUUUGUUUACUACACAAGUUACUUAAGCAAAAUUAUUAUUAUUUUUUUUAAUGUGGAUCAAGCCAAAACAAAAUAAAAGUUAUUUUUAUAUUACUACAAAUAUAUGAUAUAUCAAUAAAAUUAUAUCUAAUUUGCAGUUUUAUAAAUAAUUUAUAUAGUUUCAAACUUUACUUCUUUUACUUAAAGAUCAUUUGGGAUUACUGUCUAAGAGGUUUAUAGAGGGAUGCAAAAUUACCUUAUCUUACAAAUAACUUUAAAAAACAUAAAAAGAGUUUUAUUCUUAAUAAAAUUUUACAUAUAUCGUAUUACAUAAGCCCAAAACUAUCAUGAUUCAAUUUAGAAACAAAAUCAGUUAAAUACAUAAGGUAGUCAUUAUUAUCAUUAUAUGAAUUUAUUUAUUUUACUUUCUAUUGAGAAGCUUUAUAUUCUUAUUACAUAAUUUAUGUUUUAUUUUAUAUUUAAUGUUGAUUUAUAAGUUUUAUAUUACAUUUAUAUGUUUUAUCUAAAUAAUUAAUAUUAAUUAUAAUAUGCACAAAUAUGUUUCACUGAUUAACUUAGCUUCUUUGAAGCAACACUUCAAUGAAAUUCAACAGGUAGCUGCCUGUGCAAUUAAUACACUCAAAGCUUUAAGAUUUAUUUUAAUUUUUAUCUUAUACAUGUUUCUCUCAAAUACAAGCUUUUAGCGCGGCAUGCAAAAUACACCCCGUUUAAAUCUAAUCACACCUCUCUAAUUUGCACAUUCUGGAUGUUUAGAACAGGAAAUAUAUAAAAUUGAAAGAAAGCUUUGAAUGUUUAAAUUAAUUUGUAUCGUAUCAACUCUUUAAUUUGCUUCUCUUUGAGGCUCUAAUUAAGAUUUGCUUGAGUAAAGGUCGGCAAACACACUCUCCAAUCAGAAUCUGAAAAACUUUUUAAUUAUAUUUUGGAAGUAAAUGAGAGGCUGUUAAUUAGUUUGUUUAGUUAAGAAGAAGAUCAUUAAUUUGUUGUUCAAUAAUUUUAUGCUAAAAGAAAUGAUCAUAGUAAUUAUAUUAUAUUAUAUUAUUUUCAUUUUUGUGCUGCCCAUAAUCUUGAAUGAAUCUUAUUGUUUGCAUGGUAUUUUACGCUCACUGGAUUUCACUUGAUUUAUUCUAAAUUUUUAGGAACAAAUUAAUAUGAUGGCUUCCACGAGCUUCCAAAAUGUCUCUCAUGGGGAAUAAGAUGCCUUCUUAAGCUUUAGAGGAGAAGACACCCGUAAAAGGUUCAUAGGUCAUCUCUAUACUGCUUUGAACAAUAAAAGAAUUUAGGUAUUCAGGGAUGACAAACAACUUGAGAAAGGAGGAUCCAUUUCACCAAUCUCCUUAAACCAAUUGAAGAAUCGAGAAUUUCAAUUAUUGUUCUCUCAAAAAAUUACGCUUCUUCCACUUGGUGCUUGGAUGAACUUCCUAAGAUUGUUGAAUGCAAAAAUAGAGAGGAUCAAAAUUUUCCAAUUUUUUAUGAAGUGGAACCAACUGUUGUAAGAAAACAAACAGCAAGUUUCGGAGAAGCUUUUGCUAAACAUGAAGAAUUUUUCAGGGAUAAUAUAGAAAAAGUGCAAAAGUGGAGACACGCUUUAAAGGAGGUGGCCAAUAUAUCAGGCUGGGAAUUGAAGGAUAGGUAAUCAUUCUUUUUUUCAACUAUUAAUUUUGUUUGUUUUGCAAGAUUAGUAACUACAAAACAGAUUUUAAUAAUCAUUCAACACUAUUUUUAAUUUAACAACUUCUAUUUAAUAUAUAUGUAUAUCGUAUGAUGUGUAGUAAAAGGGUUCCUCCUGUGAAUUGAAUAUCUUUAAAUUAUACUUUUACUUUUGAAAACCUUAAUUUACCUCCCAUUUUUGUUAAUAAUACAAAAACAUUUCAUCAACUCACCCCAUUUUUCCUUCUCUUUUGAACAAAAAUAGGGUAAUUGAGGUGUUCAGAAGGGAGUGAUUUGAAGAUAUUCAAAUCUAAAUGGAGAAUAAUCUAAAUUUUAUGAAUGAAUUAAUAUUUGCAAUCAAAGAGAUAUGGACAUUGAUAUGUUGAAUUAUUGGAUUUUGAACUUUUCAUGACUAAAAGCUUUUAUGUUGUGAUGCUUUGUGCUAUCAGUUUUGCAAAAAAAAAAAAAAAGUAAAAUAAAACUUUAUUCUUAGAUUAUUGCCCAAGCUUAGGCAUAUCAAUAUAAUGAUUUAAGCUUGUGAUUAUAAUUUUAGUCCAAAUUUAUUUACUAGAUUAAUCUAUCCCCGUCCUUGCUUGCAAACUGCUCUGUUUUGUGUCAUUUUCUAUUUAUUUUAAUAUAAUUUUCUUCUAUGAAUUGACUCUUGACCUAGAUUGCCAAAUACUAAUAAUAACAAUGGCAAUAAUCGCAAUACGAAUGAUAUCAAUAUCAUUACAUAUUUAGCUAAUCUAAUUGAAUUAAAUUGUCUUUUAAACUAACUCAUCCUGUUGUAGAAAGAAAUAAUAUAUAAAUUUUGAAAUUACCAAUCACAAUGCAACCCAGUCCAAUCCAAUUCUUAUUGGGUUGGGUUUGAAUUUCUCAUUCCAAUUGUUGUUGACUGAUGUAAUAAUAUCAUAUUAUUUAAUUAUAUGACUUCAAUUUGAUGAAAUGAAUAUUGCAUAGUUGGGAUUUUUUAUUCAUAAUAUGGAAUUGCUUUGUUACUACGUUCAUACUUACUUCAAUUUAACAACACCAAUCUUUUCUUGUUGUUUUCAAUCUGCAUCAAUGAGUCAGAAUUUAUUGAGGAAAUUGUCAAUGUCAUAUCUAGUAAAAUUCGUUCAGAACCGGAGAUUCUUAAGGAGCUAGUAGGAAUCGAAUCACGCUUGGAGCAACUGAGGUUUCUUAUGGGUAUGGGGUCUAAUGAUGUUCGUAUGAUCGGGAUAUGGGGCAUGGGAGGUCUAGGAAAGACAACUCUUGCAAGGGUUUUUUAUGACUUGAUGUCUCAUGAGUUUGAUGGGAGUAGUUUUCUUGCCGAUGUUAGAGAAAAAUCUGAAAAAGAAGGCAGUGAAAUCUCUUUACAAAAGCAGCUCCUUUCUGAUUUACUGAAGCUUUCAGAUUAUAGCAUACAGAAUGUCUACGAUGGUAUUAGCAUAAUUGGAAGUAGGCUGCAACGAAAAAAAGUUCUUCUCAUAAUUGAUGAUGUGGCUGAUGUUGAACAAUUACAAAGGUUAGUUGGAAGGCGUGAUUGGUUCGGUCCAGGCAGCAAGAUUCUAAUAACAACGAGAGAUAGACAAUUGUUGGUGGCGCAUGAAGUGGAUCAAGAGCAUAUUCUUGACCUUGAUGUACUAAAUAAGGAUGAAGCUCUUCAACUCUUUAGUAUGAAAGCUUUUAAAAGCCAUUAGCCUAUGGGAGAAUAUGUGGAGCUAUCUGAACGUGUUCUGGAGUAUGCUGGUGGUCUUCCAUUAGCUCUAAAAGUUUUGGGAUCCUUUCUAAUUGGUAGAUCUGCGGAUCUAUGGAGAAGUGCCCUAGAAAGACUGAAAAAAGAUCCUUCAAAUAAGAUUAUGAGUAUACUUCAAAUAAGUUUUGAAGGACUACAAGAUUCAGAGAAGAAAAUAUUUCUGGAUGUUGCAUGUUUCUUUAAAUGGUGGGAUAGAGAUUACGUGGCAGAAAUUCUAGAGGGAUGUGGUUUUUCCCCAGUCAUUGGGAUAGAAGUUCUUAUUGAAAAGUCUCUAUUAACUGUUGAUGGUUGCAACAUACUGCAUAUGCAUGAUUUGUUACAGGAAUUGGGACAACUGAUUGUUACGAGACAAUCCCCCGAAGAACCUGGGAAAUGUAGCGGAAUAUGGAGGGAAGAAGAAGUGCGCCAGGUGUUGACAAACAAUACGGUAAGUGAAUUAUUAAAUGGAAAACUUGUUGAUGCUUGCUACUUUAUUUUUCCCAAUUAUAUCUCUGACGAAUUUUCAACAUCUUUACAUUAUUGUUUUAGGGAGGUGAAGUAGUGGAAGGAAUAAUAGAUUAUUACUCUUCCUACUUUCCUGAAGAUAAGGUUUACUUAAGUGCAAGUGCUGAAGCAUUUUCGCUGAUGACCAACCUAAGACUGCUCAAAAUCAGUAAUGUGCAACUUUCUAGAGGACUAGAAUACCUCUCUAACAGGUUGCGAUUACUUGAUUGGCGUCGGUAUCCUUUGAAAUCUUUGCCAUCAAAUUUGCAAUUGGAUGAUAUUGUUGAAUUUAAAAUGCAUUACAGCUGCAUUGAAGAAUUAUGGAAAGGAAUCAAAGUAAGAUCAAUUUUUUUUGUCACUAAUUUAUAUUUUUCAGUGAAUAAUUGUUGAUAACAAUUUUAUUAUUAUAGUAGUAUAUGAAUUAAGAAAUAUCAUUUUAUCUCCUUUUUUGUUUUCAACAGCCUUUAAACAUGUUGAGAGUCUUGGAACUCAGCCAUUCGGAGAAUCUGAUUAAGACACUAGACUUCACAAAGGUCCCAAACUUAGAGGUGUUGGAUCUUGAAGGAUGUACAAGGUUGCGUGAAAUUCACCAGUCUUUGCUACGUCACAAUAAGCUGAUCUUGUUGAAUUUGAAAGGUUGUACAAGUCUUACAACUCUUCCGGGUGAGAUUUUUAUGGAAUCUCUUAAAACGCUUGUUCUAUCUGGUUGCUCAAAAUUGAAGAAAUUUCCGGACAUUGUAGGAGGUAUGGAGUGUCUGCAGGAACUUCGUUUAGAUGGAACUGAUAUCAAAGAACUGCCAGUAUCAAUUGAACUUAUGUCUGGCCUUGUUUCGUUGAAUUUGAAAGAUUGCAGAAAUCUCGCGAGUCUUCCAAUUACAAUAGGCAGUUUAGAAUGUCUACAAACGCUCGUGCUAUCUGGUUGCUCGAAAAUAGUGAAAUUUCCAGAGACUGUGAUAAGUGUGGUAGAUCUGUCAGAGCUCUUUUUAGAUGGAACUUCUAUCACAGAAGUGCCAUCAUCUAUAGAGCUUUUGACCAAACUUCAAUGGUUGAAUUUGAAUGACUGCAGAAGUCUCGUGAGACUUCCUAGCAGUAUAAAUGGUUUGAAAUCCCUCAAAACUUUGAAUCUCUCAGGCUGCUUCAAACUUGAAAAUGUGCCUGAGACGUUUGGGCAAGUAGAAAGUCUGGAAGAACUUGAUAUAAGUGGUACAGCUAUAAGGCAACCUCCAUCGUCGAUUUUUCUUAUGAAGAAUCUUAAAGAACUAUCUUGUCGUGGGUGCAAAGGAUCACCAUCAUCUGCAUCAUGGUUUCUGCGCUCUCCUAUCAAUUUGAUGCGAUGGAGUUCAGAUCCGGUGGCUUUGAGUUUGCCGUCUUCUCUGCCAGGUUUGUGUAGUUUAACGAAAUUGGAUAUCAGUGACUAUGACCUAGGGGAAGGAGCAAUCCCAAGUAGUAUUGGCGACUUAUGCUCAUUAGAAAAGUUAUGUUUGAGUAGAAACAGUUUUGUUUCGCUACCGGCAAGCAUCUACCGUCUUUCUAAUCUUCAGGAGAUUGAAUUAGAGGAAUGCAAAAUGCUUCAAACUCUUCCUCGACUUCCAGCCAGUAUACAAUGGAUUUUGUUAGAUGGUUGUGUGUCGUUGGAGACAUUAUCAGAUGUAUUAAAAUUAAACGAGCAUCGACUCCCGUUGUUAAGCCUUGAGUGUGUGGAUUGCUUGAAAUUGACUGGCAACUAUGAUUUGGCAACAUUAAAAAUUCUGAGGUCAGUCUCUCACUCUCACCUGUUCUAACAUUAUGCCUAAAACUUAUGCAAUAGAUGUUAUGUCUUUUUAUUUUGUUUAUUUACUCACUUUUUUUUUCCGUGGGGUUGCAGAAUAUGUCACUGUCAGACAAGUACUGUAGUAGAUGGCCUCAUGUUAGUUUCUUACACUGUCUCUCACCUGUUGCUAAAAUUAUGCCUAAAAAUUAUGCAUUGGUAUGGCUUAUAAAAUACAAUUACAUUGAAGCCGCCCUUGAUAAAAUACUAAACGAAAUCAUUGCUUUCCUCAACAUCAUGUCUACCAUAUCGUUGAUUUCAUGCACCACUAAAGAAGAUCAUGAUCGUUCUUCGUAAUUGCUUUCGGCAUACACUUUUGAUUACACUUUUUGUUUUUUAGAAAUUAAUUAGAACACAAAACAUUCCUUUCAUUGAUUUCUUUGAAAGAAAGUUAGGUCUUCUUUCAUAUCGAGAUACUGUAAUUUUUUAGUUUUAAAUUAUUAAAAAAAUUUAUAAUUAUAAGAUAAAAAUUAAUAAUAUAUAAUGAAUAUAAUUUUUAAAUAAUAAUUUUUACAAAAUUAAUAAAAAUAUAAUAAAUUUUUCAUUAUACAACUUAAUUUUCAGGAUAUAAUAGUUAAUAUUUAUUAAACACUUUAGUAUUGUAGUUUAAAAAUUAUAGCUUCCCAACCUCAAUUUCAAAUAAAACCUUAAUUAGAAGUUCAAGUAAAAAUUUAUGAUCUUUAUUGCUUCCAAUAAGCUCAAAAAUGCCAGUUAAUUUUCUUACAUUUUUAAUUUUACUCAUAUCUCAGCGUUUGCUUUGCAAGAAUAUUUGUCUUACAUAUUUAUGUAUUAUUUUUUUUCACAUAUAAAAUUCAAUUGAAUGAAUUUUAAGAGGAAAGUUUGUUCUCUUGGUUUUCUGCUCCUUCAAUUUGCUGGUUGUGUGCUGAUUAUGAUUAUUUAAGAACCAUUUACUGAUAGCACUUCAUUUCAAAUAAAAUUAAAAUGUCCAAUGUAUUAAAAUUUGUGAAAACUUUAUGCUCAAAAUCAUUAGGAGAAAAAUUAUUAUUUUAUCCAUUUUGAGUCCCCCGACAGAUUUUGAGGGAGAUUGGAAUCUUGUGUAAUUUGCUGUACGGAGUUAUGAUGCAUCUUUAUCGACUUUUCUGUUGACUCAACUUGAUUGACCUCUGAUUCUGAAUGCGACCUCACGUAGGUCCGUCCGCUGAAUACGGGUUUGACCCGAUAUCAACCCGCGUUUGGUUGGACCGCAGGAUGUGUGUGACGUGUCCUGUUGGCCGUUGAUCCGCGUGUGUUAGGUUACUGGGUGGCUGACUUUGUAUCCGGACCAUCAUUUUGAUCAUGGAACGCCGUCCAAGGGUUCUGAAGCUGCCACGUACUCCACUACUUCAACCCAUUGAUUUAAUCCAAUUUGGUGGAUCCAAUAGCAAUUCCCCCAUCUCUUUGAAAUGUAAAAGCAUCAUUUUAAGCUCCACCGGCCGUCGAUUUCGAGCGAGCGUACAAGUGCUAAGGCCAAAAAAUUUUAUCUUGGAGAAGAAUUGAGUGAGUGACUUCUUAUUUUUAUGUCCUUAAAAUUUAUUUUUUAAAAUUUAUUUUUAAACCCUAGAUUUUGGAGAAAUACUUUUCUUAAGGGUUAGAAGCAAAUGUUUUAAAUUGGAAUUUUAAUGAGUGCAAACUAUGUUAUUGUCAGACAUCAAGAAUCAAAUUAGCAUUUAUUUUAUUCUCUUGUCUUUAGCUCCAUCAAGUUCGUUGAUGCAAGGUCUUUGAGAUUGAAGGUGUUAAAUUCAAGACGGAUUCUCUCACAUCCAAUAUCAAUUUACUCUUAGAUUUUUCUUGUGAGCAGAUUUUGAUGCUUGAUUCACAUAGAAAAAAAAUUGUGAGGACUAUAAGGAUUUUUUUUUAAAUUAAAAACCACCUUAAGGUGGAGUGUGGGUUUAGGCGGGAACCUUCACUAGUAAAUUAAUAAAAUAAAAUAAAAUUCAUAUGGAGAGAGACAUAUGCCAAAACCUCGAAGUAUGGGAACAAAUACAUCCAAUAACAGGAAAAAUAACAAAAGCAAUGGAAGAUAGGACUAAUUAAUGCAACCGCCUAGAGAAUCGCUUCCAAUUCUUGCGGCUAGUAACUAAUGUGAAACCUUUCUUAGAACAGAGGCAUGCGGCCCGGCAACACGAAAGUCAUCAAGAUCAUGCCCUCUAGUACCCUUAGGCUCAUAUGCAAAAUAUUCAAUAGUCACAGGAUUCCCAUCAAAGCUAAAAUUCUCAUCAAACUGAAAAAGGAUGUCUGUAGAAUGGGGUUUGAAGCCCACGAUCAUGGAGCGAAUAUCCUCUUCAGCAACUAAAAAAAAAGUAGCGUCAGUGGAAGCCCUCUGAACACUCGGAUCAUCUAAAAAAGGAGGGUUAGAGACCUCAGUGCAUCCAGCAGCAUCUCCUAAAGUAGUAGGAUCCUUCAAACCAUCAUCAGUUUGAAUUCUUUUCAUAGAAACCAGAUCAAACCCAUCUUCUGCAGUAUCCUAAUAAAUAAGUGAUUGAGCAUCUAGAGGAGCACCCUCACUACCAUUAGGCCUCAAUGGCUGAACCUCUUCGCCAUCCCCUUUGGAUGCACAGCAGCAUCAGACAUCAACAUCUUGCUUUUAUCAUGAACAACAGUAUCCUGCACCUGACUAAUAGGCUGCCAAGGUUCCCAGAGCCCAGGAUUGGCAACAAAACAAGUAUCAGCAGAGUGCCCAAGAUGUUUACACGAGGCACAAUAUAAAGGAACAUGCUUAAAAAUGACAUUCUACUAGAAACCGCCACCACCUUCAAUCCAAAGCUUGGGCAACAACGGCCACGAAACAUCCAACUCAAUUAGAACUCCAGCGACUGAGGGUCGAUUAACAGCAAUAGUAGCAUGGUCUACUCACAGAGGCUUACCAAUAGCAUUAGCAAUAAAAAAUAAGGCAUCUUUGCAAUGAAUAAAAUGCACUGGUGAAUACGGCAAAGAAACUUAGAUAGGAACAAUAGGAGAUUCCUUAGAGCACCGAAUUAAAGUCUAUAAGACUAUACUACAUGAGACUCAAACCCAAGACCUAAGUCUUGGUAAGGCUAUCCACCUAAAUCCACUUGGAAAAUGUUCAAACGUAUUUUAGAUAAUGUGUUUUAGUCUGUGAGGGUUGGCACAAUAGGAUUUAGACUUGAGAUGUUUAGGAUUGCGAAGCUUUGUAUGUGUUCUUGAUCCAUUGUAAACUCACAUUAUUUUCAUAGUAAAUUGUUUUGUCUACAAGUGGACAUAAUAAUAUAUCAAGAUUUUUGUCUUAAAUCGUGAGGAUCAAAGGUUCCCUCGUAAAAAGAUCUUCGUGUUGUGGAUGUUCAUUAUUUUGCAUAUUUAUUUUCAUUACCAUAAAUUGACUUUUUAAAUUUAUUGAUAGUGUUUAUAUUGAAUUAUCUUUAUUAACUAGGAAAUAAAAUCAUUAAUUUUAAAGAGAUUACUAUUAUUAUCAUCAAUUAUAUUGAGAUAACAAAAUAAAAAAUAAAAUUGAUAAUAUAAAAUAUUUACUUUAGUUAUCAAAUAUUAUAUAUACACACGAAAAAAUAUUUUAUAUACAUAUUUAUAAAUAUGUAAAUAAAUUUUAUUCAAAAUUAUGUCUAGCUUAAUCAUUUACAUUCUUGUCAUUUACAAUCUUAUGAUAGUUUAAUAAUAAGAUUUAUCAAGUACAUACGACUGUUUUUAAAACUUACAAAAUUUUUGAAAUUCGUAUCGAAUGUUUGAUUGAUUAUCUUUAUAGUUGAUUAUUUCUAUAAUUCAAUUAACAAUAAUUAGUUUUAAAAAACUACAAUGUUACCAAAAGAAUCCAACAUCUUUUAGGGAUCCAACUGAAAUUUAACUAAUAAAGAUUUACCAUUCUUAUAGGUUGCUAGUAGUUUUAACUAUUUUUAAUUAAUUAUUAAUAUCAACCGUUGGAUGCCAUUCCAUUUUAAUGGAAUCCAAUGGUUUCAACGUGGCUAAUGGGCAGAGUGGCUUGGACGCGUCAUCAAUUGAAAAGCCAGAUAAUCUUCGCUUAGAUUCCUUGAAGCUUCCAGCAAGUUUGAUGGUAACUCCAUCAUGUGAGUAAACAGUGACAAAUGUCUAUUAAUUAUUAAGAAAGUCACUUUUUGACCAAGACUUGCUUUUGGAAAUACAUACAUAUUUGCUGAUUGCUUUAUUUUUCGCCAAAAGAAUAUAUUUGCAUGAUUAAAUUCUUUGAAUCAAAUACUGCAUCGGAGUUCAUUUAACUAGCGUCCUACAAUACACUCAAAAGCCGUAAGUUCGAUCUUAUACAUCUCUCUCUCUUUUAUUUUCAGAAUUAAUUUGUAUAUCUUAAUGUUUAAAAACAAAUAAAUAAUGAUAAAAUUGAAAGAAAUUCUUUAAUGUUAAUUUUGUACAAACUCCUCUAAGAGGCUUUAAUCAAGAUUUGCUCAAGUAGAGAUCGGUGUACACACUCUCAAAUCGGCACUUGAAAAACAAAUACUUUACAUUUUGGGAUUUAUUAUGUAUAAUUUUAAUUUUCUUUUUGGUAAAGAGAGUAAUUGAGAAGCUGAUGGAUUAUCUGUUUAGUUUGUUUGAGAAUAAGAUCAUUAAUUUGAAUUCAGAACCAUUGUCAAGUUUAAUAACUUUUUAUUUCAAUAAAUUUUUACUUUAAAAAUAUUUGGGCCAAUUUAUUGUCAAUUAUUUUUAAUCAAAUUCACCCUCCCCGUCGAGGUCUGAAAAAAAGAAUACAAUUAUUAUAUAUUUGUCCAUUUUUAUCGGGUUGUUGAAAGGAAAUGAAAAAGUUUCAGUUUCUCUCUCAAAAUCUCUUUGCUUAUAUAUAGUUUCGAUGAUUAGUUAUUGCCUUAAUAUUUUUGUUUUUAUUUUUUUGGUGAUAAAUAUGUAACUCUGAUUUCUUUUAAGUUAUUGUAGAUAAAUCUUUUAUAAAACAACAUACAAAGAGGUACCUAUUGAACUUCUUUAUUUUCAUUAUAUAUUAACCACCAAUCACAUAUUAAAUCAUAAGAGAAUUCUAAUUCAAUCUGAUAUUGAAUAUUAUUAUUUAAAAAUUACUUCAAAAACUGUAUUUUAGCAUUUAACUGUUUAUUAAAAUAAUAAGUUAUAAUCUAGUUAGAAAUUUAAGGAAAUAGUUAUGUAAAGUCCCAAUUUUUUAAUAAAGGACGCCAAAAUCUUUUUUCAGCUAUACUGCUUUUGUAGAGAGUAACUAAAAUACAUAUAUAAUUUAAUAUUUUAAUUUUUCUAAUAGACCAAUAAUAUUAGAAUAUUUUAAAAAUAAAAUAAUUUUAAAAAAUGUAAAUUAUUAUAUUUUACUAAUAUAUUUGUAUUUAUUAUAACAAAUUUAAAUAAAUCAUUAGGUUAAAUAGAUUUUACAAUUAAAAAAAUGAUUUCAUGUAUUAAUAAUAUUAAAAUUAUUUUUAUAUAUUUAUCUUAAUAUUAUAAUUCUAUUUAUUACAAAUAUUUUUUAAUAGAUAUUGUUACAUUUAUUUAAUAUCGUAUUUAUAUUAAUUAUAAAACAUUGAAAUUAAUUUUUUUGAGUUAUUAGAGCUAAAUGGUAUCAUAGUUAAAAGAGGAUUUUAGUGUUUCUUAUUGAAAAUAUGGUGUCUACACAACCAUUUUUUUCCCAAAUCUUGGGGUGUAAGUGUCAUUUUACCUAAAUUUAAAUAAGAUAUUUAAAUCAAAUAAUAUGAAUUAAAUAUAAAUAAAUCCAAAUAAUAUGAAUUUAAUAUAAAUAAUUACACACUUUUUUUUACUUUUAUUAUAUAAAAUCAUUUUUAUUAUUUUACUUUUAUUAUGUAAAAAUAAUUUUAAUCAAUUAUUUUAUUAAUUAACACAUUUAUAAUUUACUUUUUUUAGAGAGAUUUAUAAUUUAAUUAAAUAGAAAUAGAACUACCUCAUUAAUGAAGUUUUUAUUUUAAUAAUGAAUUUAACCAAUAAAUUUAAUAAAAUAAUAUUAUAAAAAAAUUAGAUAAACAAGAUCAUGCAUAUACCGCAAUAAAUAUGGCACUGUUUUAAAGGUUAAUGUAAUAUUGCUACGCAAUAAAGCUCAAGCAAUAUAAUUAAGUAUUAUUUAUUAAUAAAUUUUUAAAUUUUAUUAGUCAAAUAAUAAAAUUGAUAAUAAUAUUAGUAUAAAAUAUUUAAAUAAACACUAUUGUACAUACUACACUAAAACAUAGUACUGCGACAUAAUGUAGUGCACCAAACACUCCCUAAGCUAGUGUAUACGACUUUGACACUUUGAGAUAAUCCAUAACUCUAGAUAAAUGUUGUUGUUUACAUAGUAUUGUUCCUAGGCAAUCAUUUCUUUUUUUUAAAAAAAAUUUCAGAACAAAUUAAUAUUGUAAUGGCUUCCUCGAGCAUACAAAAUAUGCCUCAUUGGCCAUAUGAUGCCUUUUUAAGCUUUAGAGGAGCAGACACCCGUAAAAGCUUCAUAAGUCAUCUCUAUGCAGCUUUGAAUGGAAAAGGAAUUUAUGUAUUCAAGGAUGACAAAGAACUCGAGAGAGGAACAUCCAUUUCACCUGGACUUCUUAAUGCAAUUGAAGAUUCUAGAAUUUCAAUUAUUGUUUUCUCUCAAAACUAUGCUUCCUCCACUUGGUGCUUGGAUGAACUUGUUAAGAUUGUUCAAUGCAAGAACAAAAACGAUCAUCAACAAAUGGUUUUUCCAAUUUUCUAUGAUGUUGAACCCACUGUGGUAAGGAAACAAACCGGAAGUUUUCGAGAAGCUUUUUCUAAACAUGAAGAAGCUUUUAGGGAGAAUCUAGAAAAGGUGAAAAAUUGGAGAGACGCUUUGAAAGAGGUGGCUAAUAUUUCUGGCUGGGAAUUGAAAGAGUACAGGUAGCCAUUCUUAUUAUUUUGUAUAUCAUUUUAAAUAGCUUUAAUUAGCAUACUGUUGUCAAUUAAACAACUUUUAUUCAAUAUGUGCAUGAUAUGAUGUGUACUAAUUGAAUAAUAGCUCCAUAUAAGAAUAUUUACGAACAAAAGUGGUACCAAUGGAUGCAGAUAUUUACACGAACGCACCUAAAGAUUAGCCAUAUGUAACAACAUCUUACAUUACUUCAAUUUUGUCCAACGAAUAUUGCAUAUUUUGGGCUUUUUCUAUUACUAAAUUUAUUUAAUACCGCAUUCAGACUCACUGUAAUUUAACCAUACUGAUCUUUCUUUGUUCUUUAACUGUAGGAAUGAGUCAGAAUUUAUUUGGGAUAUUGUCAAGGCGAUAUCAAGUAAAAUUCCUGUAAAAUCAGAGACUCUUAAGAAGCUGGUGGGAAUAGAUUCACGCUUGGAAGAAUUGAGGUCUCUUAUGGAUGAAGGGCCUAAUGAUGAUGUUCGUAUGAUAGGCAUUUGUGGUAUGGGAGGUUUAGGUAAGACGACUCUUGCAAGAGUUGUUUAUGACUUGAUCUCUCAUGAAUUUGAAGGGAGUAGUUUUCUUGCCGAUGUUAGAGAAAAAUUUGAAAACGAAGGCAGUGUAAUCUCUUUUCAAAGGCAACUCCUUUACGAAAUAUUGAAGCUUGAAAAAGAUAGCAUAUGGAAUGUCGGUGAUGGCAUCAACAUUUUAGGAAGCAGGCUGCAAAACAAAAAGGUUCUUCUUGUUAUCGAUGAUGUGGUUGACAUAAAGCAAUUAGAGUAUUUAGCUGGAAAGCGUGAGUGGUUUGGUUCAGGCAGUAGGAUCAUCGUAACAUCGCGAGAUGAACAUCUAUUAAGGACACAUGGAAUGGAUGAAGUAUAUAAGCCUAAUGAACUAAAUUACCAUGAUGCUCUUCAACUUUUCAACAUGAAAGCUUUUAAAAUCCAAAAGCCUCUUGAAGAAUGUGUGCAGCUGUCUGAACGUGUUCUACGGUAUGCCGGUGGUCUUCCGUUAGCUCUCGAAGUUUUGGGUUCCUUUUUGAAUGGUAGAUCCGUGGAUCAAUGGAAAAGCACCUUGGAAAGGCUACAAAUAGAGCCUCCCAAUAAGAUUAUGAGUAUACUUCAAAUAAGUUUUGACGGACUACAAGAAUUAGAGAAGAAAAUAUUUCUCGAUAUUGCAUGUUUCUUUAAAUGGAAGACUAGAGAUUAUGUAUCGAAAAUUCUAAAAGGAUGUGGUUUUUCCCCAGUCAUUGGAAUAGAAGUUCUUAUUGAAAAAUCUUUAUUAACAGUACAUGAGAAUAACAGAUUGUGGAUGCAUGAUUUGAUACAAGAAAUGGGUCACCAAAUUGUUAGGAGACAAUCCCCCGACGAGCCUGGAAAACGCAGUAGAUUGUGGAAGGAAGCAGAUGUACACCAUGUGUUGUCACAAAAUACAGUAAGUGAAUAAUAAAGGGGAUCUAAAAGUAUUUAUUUUCCAGCUCAGCUCACUUCUUUUAGCUAGUUAAAUCUCUAACGAACAAAUUUGUUUAUAAUUUUCAGGGAAGUGAAGUAGUUGAAGGAAUAAUGGUUGAUGAUUAUUUCCUUCGUGGAAAUGAUGUGCAUUUAAGUGCUAAAGCAUUUUCACUGAUGACCAACCUAAGAUUGCUCAAAAUCAGUAAUGUGCAACUUCCUGAAGGCCUAGAAUACCUCUCGAACAGGUUGCGAUUACUUGAUUGGCAUCGGUGUCCUUUGAAAUCUUUGCCAUCAAAUUUGCAAUUGGAUAAAACUGUUGAAUUUAAAAUGUGCUACAGCCGCAUUGAAGAAUUAUGGAAGGGAAUCAAAGUAAGAUCAAUUUUUUUUUUGGUCACUAAUUAUUUUCAGUGAAUAAUUGUUGAUAACAAUUUUUUUAUUAUAGUAGUACAUGAAUUAAGAAAUAUCAUUUUAGCUCCUUUUUAUUUUCAACAGCCUUUAAACAUGUUGAGAGUCAUGAAACUCAGCCAUUCGGAGAAUCUGAUUAAGACACCAGACUUCACAAAGGUCCCAAACUUAGAGGUGUUGGAUCUUGAAGGAUGUACAAGGUUACGUGAAAUUCACCCGUCUUUGCUGCUUCACAAGGAGCUGAUCUUGUUGAAUUUGAAAGGCUGUACAAGUCUUACAACUCUUCCAGGCAAGAUUUUUAUGGAAUCUCUUAAAACGCUUAUUCUAUCUGGUUGCUUGAAAUUAAAGAAAUUUCCAGACAUUGUAGGAGGUAUGGAGUGUCUGCAGGAACUUCGUUUGGAUGGAAUUGAUAUCAAAGAACUACCUUUAUCUAUUGAGCUUUUGACCAGACUUGAAUUGUUAAAUUUGAAUGACUGCAGAAGUCUCGUGAGACUUCAUAGCAAUAUAAAUGGUUUGAAAUCCCUCAAAACUUUGAAUCUCUCAGGCUGCUUCAAACUUGAAAAUGUGCCUGAGACGCUUGGGCAAGUAGAAAGUUUGGAAAAACUUGAUAUAAGUGGUACAGCUGUAAGGCAACCUCCAUCGUCGAUUUUUCUUAUGAAGAAUCUUAAAGAACUAUCUUGUCGUGGGUGCAAAGGAUCACCAUCAUCUACAUCAUGGUUUCUGCGCUUCCCUAUCAAUUUGAUGCGAUGGAGUUCAGAUCUGGUGGCUUUGAGUUUGCCGUCUUCUCUGUCAGGUUUGUGUAGUUUAACGAAAUUGGAUAUCAGUUUCUGUGAUUUAGGGGAAGGAGCAAUCCCAAGUGGUAUUGGCAACUUAUGCUCAUUAAAAUGGUUGUUUCUGAGUGGAAACAAUUUUUUUACGCUGCCGGCAAGCAUUUACUGUCUUUCUAGUCUUUUGGGCAUUGAUUUAAAGGAAUGCAAAAUGCUUCAAAAUCUGCCUCGACUUCCAGCCAGUAUACAUUGGAUAUCGUUAGACGGUUGUGUUUUGUUGGAGACAUUAUCAGAUGUAUUAAAAUUAAACAAGCAUCGACUCCCGAGCUUAUUCCUUCAAUGUGUGGAUUGCUUGAAAUUGGCUGGCAACUAUGAUUUGGCGCUUUCACUGCUGAAAGAGUACAUUAAAAAUUCUGAGGUCAGUCUUUUACUCUCACCUGUGCUAACAUUAUGCCUAAAACUUAUGCAAUAUAUGUUAUGUCUUUUUAUUUUGUUUAUUUACUCACUUUUUUUUCCGUGGGGUUGCAGAAUAUGUCACUGUCGGACAAGUACAUUAAACAGAGUGGGGUCAGUUUCUUACACUGUCUCUCACCUGUUGCUAAAAUUAUGCCUAAAAAUUAUGCAUUGGUAUGGCUUUCUAAUAUAUAUAUAUAUAUAUAUAUAUAUUUUUUUUUUUUUUUUUUGUGGGUUUCAGGACCCUGUGAGAAGGUAUAACAUUGUUGUUCCUGGAAGUGAAAUCCCAGAGUGGUUCGAGUAUCAGAAUAAUGAGGGUUCUUCAAUAACAAUAACCACGCCUCCAAAGAUGUAUAAGAAUAGUAAGCUUGUGGGAUAUGCUAUGUGCUGUGUUUUUCAUGUCCCUAAAUAUUCACUUCCUUAUUAUACACAGUCGUUUCCAUAUCCCGUACAUGUGCUGCAUGUCACGCCUAACUACCCGGUUUCUAUUGGCAUUUCGUUUGGAAAGCAAUCUGGUCAGGCUAUGUCAGACCAUCUUUUACUACACUACAUGAAAUGGGAAAAUAUCAGUGAAGUGACAUUUGAUUCGCCGUCGGGAUUGGUGCUGAAGAGGUGUGGAAUCCAUCCAAUUUAUGUGCAUCAAGGGGAUAAGUUCAACCAAACAACUGAUCCGGUUUGGAAUUUGAAUGAAUUUGGUCACGAUUGUUCAGGAUCAACAUCCUUUACGCGUGGCCGUAAUGAUGACUUAGACAGGGCAGAAGCCAGUGGAAGUUGCUGCGGGCGUGAUGCAGGAUCAACGACGUCGUCUGAGCGAAGCUUUCUAAAGCGAAGUCUUGAAGAAUAUGUUGGGGCGGCUGAAGCUAGUGGAAGUGGCUGCUGUAAUGAUGAUGAGGAACCACAACCUAAAAGAUUUAAACAACUCGAAUGAAGGGCACAGCCUAGUGAAUAUUAUUUUCUCUGAGUCUACGUGUAACAGUGUAAGUGCGCAUCUCAAUUUCAAUUUUAUUUUCUUUGCAGAUAGCAUUUCAUUUACUUUCUUUUUAUUUAUUUAUUGUAUCUGUUCUCGCUACUUAUUUCCCUGUUAAACUACCAGAAAAUGCCUGGCUUGGGUCAAAACGUUGGACAGAAUCAGAAUGUGCCUUCCAUGAAUCAAAAUUGCAUUCGUGCCCCAUCAAAUCCAAGCUUUGAAUUUUGAGAUUUGAGGUGAAAAUAAAGGACCGAAGUAAAUACUCUGCUUUGUUUUAUUACUCUGUUUUUUUCUGCAAAAGAUACCGUACAUAGAUGCGAUGAGAGCUAGUUGUUUGGUAUACUUGAAGGGGCUCGGGAUUGAUGAAUUGCAUUGCUACGAGUCAACAAUAAACUAAUACUCUGCUCAUUGCAAUCUGGUUGAAUAUAUUCUCUCUAUUUUUUUUUUGUCUUUUCCCUCCCUCGUUUGGCAUAAAGCUUUGGUUAUUCUAGCUGAGUGAGUGGCCCAGCUAAGCUUAUUGUAAAUUGUAAAUGGUACUUGAAGCGGAUACGUAUUUUCGCUUGUUGAGAUUCUUAUUGAAUUUGCCUAGAUUUUCC
This 22765-nucleotide long non-coding RNA is filed under the name Citrus maxima (pomelo). RNAcentral describes it as "long non-coding RNA (CMAX_LNC001939)". Lineage: Eukaryota; Viridiplantae; Streptophyta; Magnoliopsida; Sapindales; Rutaceae. The record is from RNAcentral.